UCCGGUUGUGUCUCCUAAGAAUCGCUCAUUGUUUCAUGGGGACAACUGGCUCCUUUGGGUGGGAUCUGAUGGCAUCUCACGGAGCUGGAGAUCUGGCACUGUGUGACUUCUGGCCCUGCUCCAAAGUCAGAGUGACCACGGAAGGUGAAUAUUCUGGGUCAACUCAGGACGUAUGCGCAGCUGUGACAACACAAUUACAGACAUGAAACAGAUUCCAGACCUGCUUCAGAAAAUGGCAGGUGCGUCUGAAGCGAGGGGAAGGCCUUGGAGGAGGAUCGAUGGUACAUGAAAAGUUCCCUUCCUUGGACUGCUAUCCCAUCUGUCCACAAGUUCUCUGAAAAUUUUCCAUAAGAAGUCCCAAUUUGGACAGAUAAUUUGUGAAGGAGUGCAUAAAUUCAAGGAAGAACAGAAACUGUCCAUGUUAACAGCUUCUGAUGCAAUCAAUGGGAUGGUUUACAUUCCCUAUCCCAUUGAUUACAUCAGAAUCUGUCAACAUGGACUGUCAUCUUCCUCCUGGAAGGUGUUGUCUGGAAUGCUCUGCUCUAUUUGUUCAUGGCUUCCACCUGCUGGUCCUGUUUGAAGGUCACCUUGGAAUGAUCUUUUUGACCAACUAAUCUAAUUGUGUGUUUGCUGAUAUAAUUGUCCAUGCAGCGCUUAACACUGUCUGCUCCUUCUGGCUUCAGUUCACUUAGUGGCCAUCUCCUUGAACUUGCAGAGCAAGAACUUGGUUUCAUUUCUGCUGUAAUCCAGCCUCUAGGAUGGUGUGUGGUAGGUAUAAUGAUUUGAGCUGUGUCUCUCGAAAAGCUGUUGAUGUCCUAACCCUUAAUAUCUCAGAAUGGCCUUCUUUGGAAGAGCCUUUACAGAUAGAUUUAGUAAAGAUGUGGUCAUAAGGGAGAUGCGCUUAUAAGCUCCAAAGAUAUGCUUAUAAGAAAAGGAGAGAGAAGCACACCAAAAGAGCACUCUAUGAAACACAGCCGCCUGGAGAAGCUGGCCAUGUAACAGGAGGUAGACAUUGGAGUCUUGUUACCACAUCCAGGGCAUGCCUGUGGCCAUAAGAAGUGUGAAGAGACAGAAAAAGAUCCUUUUCUUGCAGGUUCCACAGAACACUGUCACCACUCCCAUUCUUCAAAUUCUGAUGACUGACAUUCCGUCCUUGGACCAGCAACCAAAUAUUGGCCUUAAAAAUGAAACUAAAGAAAAAAAAUUUCUGUAAAAGCAAAAAUGAACAUAAACAAACAAAAAAAACCAACCCCCCCCCCAGUAAACAGGCUACCAUUCUGUUGUAUUUAGUUACAUCGUCUUAAAAUA
Molecule: long non-coding RNA, 1308 nt
Organism: Octodon degus (degu)
Lineage: Eukaryota; Metazoa; Chordata; Mammalia; Rodentia; Octodontidae
Exons: 3
Source: RefSeq, a predicted model, not a curated record